This 253-nucleotide ribosomal RNA is filed under the name uncultured bacterium. Its description in RNAcentral is "partial 16S ribosomal RNA". It matches the Rfam family "Bacterial small subunit ribosomal RNA", at positions 524 to 776 of the family's 1533-position model. The record is from RNAcentral.
UACGAAGGGAGCUAGCGGUGUUCGGCAUCACUGGGCGUAAAGCGCACGUGGGCGGAUGUGUCAGUCAGGGGUGAAAUCCCGGGGCUCAACCUCGGAACUGCCUCUGAUACAGCAUGUCUCGAGUCCGGAAGAGGUGGGUGGAAUUCCUAGUGUAGAGGUGAAAUUCGUAGAUAUUAGGAAGAACACCGGUGGCGAAGGCGGCCCACUGGUCCGGUACUGACGCUGAGGUGCGAAAGCGUGGGGAGCAAAUAGG